Molecule: ribosomal RNA, 484 nt
Filed under: uncultured bacterium
Lineage: Bacteria
Description: partial 16S ribosomal RNA
Rfam family: Bacterial small subunit ribosomal RNA
Source: RNAcentral
AUUGAACGCUGGCGGCAGGCCUAACACAUGCAAGUCGAGCGGGUGAAGCGAGCUUGCUCCUGGAUUCAGCGGCGGACGGGUGAGUAAUGCCUAGGAAUCUGCCUGGUAGUGGGGGAUAACGUCCGGAAACGGGCGCUAAUACCGCAUACGUCCUGAGGGAGAAAGUGGGGGAUCUUCGGACCUCACGCUAUCAGAUGAGCCUAGGUCGGAUUAGCUAGUUGGUGGGGUAAAGGCCUACCAAGGCGACGAUCCGUAACUGGUCUGAGAGGAUGAUCAGUCACACUGGAACUGAGACACGGUCCAGACUCCUACGGGAGGCAGCAGUGGGGAAUAUUGGACAAUGGGCGAAAGCCUGAUCCAGCCAUGCCGCGUGUGUGAAGAAGGUCUUCGGAUUGUAAAGCACUUUAAGUUGGGAGGAAGGGCAGUAAGUUAAUACCUUGCUGUUUUGACGUUACCAACAGAAUAAGCACCGGCUAACUUCGUG